AUUUAUGUAGUUUAAUAAAAAACAAUUCAUUUUCAAUGAAUAAAUAAAUUUAAUUUCAUAAAUA
RNAcentral lists this transfer RNA (64 nucleotides) under Anacestra spiniger. RNAcentral's name for it is "tRNA-Glu". The record is from RNAcentral. Lineage: Eukaryota; Metazoa; Arthropoda; Insecta; Hemiptera; Alydidae.